Long non-coding RNA from Chelonoidis abingdonii (Abingdon island giant tortoise), 2048 nucleotides. Lineage: Eukaryota; Metazoa; Chordata; Testudines; Testudinidae. The record is from Ensembl.
AUGUCCUUUCAGCAGGGGACAAUCCCAUCAGAGGUGAAAACGGCAAUUAGCAAAAACUUCUUUGAAAUAUGGAAAAAACAUUUUGGUCGUAUAUCAAUGUUGGUAUACUCACUUGUUUUGGUAGUGCUUGAAAAGAUAUUGGAAUCUGAUUUUAAAUGCCCAGAAGAGCUGCACUUGAGACAUUCGUACACCAUCUUACUUUUCAUUAUGCCAGCAGUACUUUUUUUUAUAUUAGGCAUGAUUUUGCAGACAGAGUUUCUACGUCCUUCUCAUAAAGAAAACGAAUUCUACUACUUUUACAGCAAAUGCAAAAGUGACAACAAACACAAAAGUGACUCCACAGAUAAGCACAAGUUUCGUAGCUGUUGGGGUGUUUUUUUAAAGGCUUCUUUUCCUGCUGUCUUGUGGAUAGUGAUCCUUCUUCUGGAUGGAAGAUAUGUUGACUGCCUCAGUAAGAACAUCACAGAGUAUCAGAUUUUCCAGCUCGUGGGACUCGGUGUCAUAUUCCUGUUGUCUGUAUUGGGUCAAUGCAAGUGCUGCUGCAAGAAGGGCUACAGAAAAAAGAUAACAGUGGAUGGAGAUGAAAUCAAACGAAUAGAGAAAGAAGUUGAUGAAAGAUUUUAAAACAGAAGGAAAAGGUAUCUGGCAAUGCGUAAAGGAUGAAUAUGCCCAAAAAGAAUGUGGUAACUACUGACAAAAAAUAUAUCUGUACAAUACAUGAAGCUUGUGACAUUUCAGGAGAAGGCGGCUCAGCUGACCAAGAAAAAAGGAACUUCAUCAUCACCUCAGAGGACCGGUCAGUCACCUCAAGAACCUCCAGUCCUUACGUCAAGUGACCUCCAGUCCUGUACAGCAGGAACCUCCAAUCUGUCACUUCAAGUGAUAUCAGAAAACAUAAGUUGUUCAAUGUGUGUGAUUUUUCUGUAUUUUAAAACGCCACAGAAAGUCUGGUAACUGAUUAUAUACCAGUAAUAACACCAAACCAUGACUACACAGCAACUGCAAGCUACUAAAUGCACAAAAACUGAAGUGGAAAUAAGGAAGGACAUGCACCCCAGCAGUUCUGCUCCUCCAGCCUCUCCCUGCGUCUUGGCUUCCUCUCCCAGGCUAGGGGGGCUGUAGUUGGUUCCCCUCCUCCAUUCCAGGUGGGAGAGGGUGGCUCCAGGGGCUCCCCACCCUCCUCUGCCAGGCUGGUGCUCCAGGAGGGCAAGGGGGAGAGCUGUCUUGUCCUGUUGUUCACAAGAGGGGAGGAGGAAAUGGCACUGGAGCCACUUGAACUGUUGGGCUCUUUUAGUUCCCUCUUCCACCUUCCCCUCCAUGAGAAUGGUGUCUGGAUGUCGAGGGAGUGGGAAAGGGAGAGAGCUCUGAGUGCAAAGUGCCAGAUCCGUAGCAGCACUACACCUCUCUGGAUGAGAUUUCCUGAGGUAUGUGUAAACAUGUGACAGAGGUUCAAUGUAAGUCUUAUAACUCAGGUGUCUGAGAUCUCCGGUCUUCAUUUCAUGAGGUCUACAGUUCUUCACCGUAAGAGAUCUUCAACCCUUCACCUCAAGGUUUUCCAAUUCUCCACUUCAAGAUCUCAAUACCUCAUCUCAAAGAUCCCAACCUUUCACCUCAGAGGUCCAAACUUCAUCUCAAGGAACUACAGAUUUCUGAUUUCUAAGUAGUGUAAUCUCCAAGGGAAAGCACAACAAAAACCUCAAAACCUGCUUCUCUCAACUGGAAAACAAAGAAAAAAAAUUAAGGAUGAUUAAAAUUCUGUCCAUAUCUAGUUAACAAUGGUCAUAGGAUGACCCAUCAUCAUUAAAAUAUCUUCCGAUGAAGUAGUUUUGAAACAUAGAAGUUUAGGUAACCACAACAUUUGUGUUCCAGAAGAAAUCCAGAGACUGCCAAUAAUCCGCUCAAGACUUCUGCAGCUGUCAAAUAGUUAAAUACAAGGCUUACCUAGCAAAUAGCUCAGUUGUUUUUCACAUGCACUAGAUUUGCUUUAGCAUUUACUUUCAUAUUUUAUGUGCAAGGCAUUUAAAAAUAAAGCACUCUGAAACUCAACA